RNAcentral lists this ribosomal RNA (468 nucleotides) under uncultured bacterium. Its description in RNAcentral is "partial 16S ribosomal RNA". It matches the Rfam family "Bacterial small subunit ribosomal RNA", at positions 28 to 507 of the family's 1533-position model. The record is from RNAcentral.
GACGAACGCUGGCGGCGUGCCUAACACAUGCAAGUCGAACGGAAAGGCCCUGCUUUUGUGGGGUGCUCGAGUGGCGAACGGGUGAGUAACACGUGAGUAACCUGCCCUUGUCUUUGGGAUAACAUCAGGAAACUGGGGCUAAUACCGGAUAGGAGCUUCUGUCGCAUGGUGGGGGUUGGAAAGUUUCGGCGGUAGGAGAUGGACUCGCGGCUUAUCAGCUUGUUGGUGGGGUAGUGGAUUACCAAGGCUGAGACGGAUAGCCGGCCUGUGAGGGGGGACGGGGACAAGAAGACUACGAUACGGACCAGUCGCGAACAGGAGGCAGCGGGUGGGAAUAUUACGCAAUGAGACCACGCCUGAUAAGAAGGCGCCGCGUGCGGAAUGACGGUCUAUGGGUUAAAAACCGCUGUCGCCUGAGACGAAGCGUGAGUGACGGUAAUGAAUAAAGAAGCACCGGCUAACUACGUG